UUUCCGUAGGUGAACCUGCGGAAGGAUCAUUAUUGUAUAACCGAGGUGCGAGGGCUGUCGCUGACCCGAAAGGUCGUGCACGCCCGAGUGCCCUCACACACAUCCACCUCACCCCUAUGUGCACCACCGCGUGGGUCCCCCUUUGGCUUGUUCGGAGGGGGGCUUACGUUUUCACACAAACUUUGUAUGCAGUGUAGAAUGUAUUAUUUGUUUUUGCGAUCACGCAAUCAAUACAACUUUCAACAACGGAUCUCUUGGCUCUC
RNAcentral lists this unclassified non-coding RNA (263 nucleotides) under plant metagenome. RNAcentral's name for it is "partial contains small subunit ribosomal RNA, internal transcribed spacer 1, and 5.8S ribosomal RNA". The record is from RNAcentral.